Rattus rattus (black rat) is the source of this 369-nucleotide non-coding RNA. The record is from the annotation of a RefSeq genome assembly. NCBI's taxonomy places the organism in Eukaryota, Metazoa, Chordata, Mammalia, Rodentia, Muridae.
AUGGAGUUGUGCAUGAUGUGGAUUUUCCUUGCUGCAUUUUUGAAAGGUGUCCAGUGUGAGGUGCAGAUCUUGGAGUCAGGGGGAGGAUUGGUGCAGCCUGGGAAUUCUCUAAAACUUUCCUGUGCCACCUCAGGAUUCACAUUCAGUACCACCUGGAUGUACUGGUAUCGACAGUUUCCAGAGAAGCGACUAGAGUGGGUAGCUCGAAUUAAAGACAAAUCUAACAAUUAUGCAACUGACUACACAGAGUCUGUGAAAGGAAGAUUCACCAUCUCAAGAGAUGAUUCCAAAAGCAGCGUUUACCUGCAGAUGAACAACUUAAAAGAGGAAGACACUGCCAUUUAUUACUGUGCUAGGUCGGCACAGUGA